This 354-nucleotide ribosomal RNA is filed under the name Bacillus sp. Y2(2013). RNAcentral's name for it is "bacterial SSU rRNA". It matches the Rfam family "Bacterial small subunit ribosomal RNA", at positions 939 to 1294 of the family's 1533-position model. Lineage: Bacteria; Bacillati; Bacillota; Bacilli; Caryophanales; Bacillaceae. The record is from RNAcentral.
AUGUGGUUUAAUUCGAAGCAACGCGAAGAACCUUACCAGGUCUUGACAUCCUCUGAAAACCCUAGAGAUAGGGCUUCUCCUUCGGGAGCAGAGUGACAGGUGGUGCAUGGUUGUCGUCAGCUCGUGUCGUGAGAUGUUGGGUUAAGUCCCGCAACGAGCGCAACCCUUGAUCUUAGUUGCCAUCAUUAAGUUGGGCACUCUAAGGUGACUGCCGGUGACAAACCGGAGGAAGGUGGGGAUGACGUCAAAUCAUCAUGCCCCUUAUGACCUGGGCUACACACGUGCUACAAUGGACGGUACAAAGAGCUGCAAGACCGCGAGGUGGAGCUAAUCUCAUAAAACCGUUCUCAGUUC